GAUAGAUCAAAUCCAGAAAUUCAUAAUCUGCUGCCAUUUUGACCAUGAAAGGGUCUGCAUCUUUGGUAAUUAUUAAUUUAGGAUAAACAUGAUCUCCCGAUGCAAUAAAAUAUGAUUCAUUUUCUUCCAAUUCAUAAAAAAUUUUGGCAAAUGAUCUAUAUUCUUCUUCUUUUGAUGAUAAAGGGGUAUCAUCAUCUUCAUCAGUUUUGAUUCUGAUAACUCUUGUAUGUUCAUCGCCAUUUUUUAUAG
This 249-nucleotide long non-coding RNA is filed under the name Olea europaea (common olive). RNAcentral's name for it is "long non-coding RNA (OEUR_LNC005882)". Lineage: Eukaryota; Viridiplantae; Streptophyta; Magnoliopsida; Lamiales; Oleaceae. The record is from RNAcentral.